RNAcentral lists this ribosomal RNA (259 nucleotides) under uncultured prokaryote. RNAcentral's name for it is "partial 16S ribosomal RNA". It matches the Rfam family "Bacterial small subunit ribosomal RNA", at positions 524 to 782 of the family's 1533-position model. The record is from RNAcentral.
UACGGAGGAUCCGAGCGUUAUCCGGAUUUAUUGGGUUUAAAGGGUGCGUAGGUGGAUUGGUAAGUCAGUGGUGAAAGUUUGCAGCUUAACUGUAAAAUUGCCGUUGAAACUGUCGGUCUUGAGUGCAAAUGAGGUAGGCGGAAUGCGUCGUGUAGCGGUGAAAUGCUUAGAUAUGACGCAGAACUCCGAUUGCGAAGGCAGCUUACUGGGAUGCAACUGACGCUGAGGCACGAAAGCGUGGGUAUCAAGCAGGAUUAGA